This 437-nucleotide ribosomal RNA is filed under the name uncultured bacterium. RNAcentral's name for it is "bacterial SSU rRNA". It matches the Rfam family "Bacterial small subunit ribosomal RNA", at positions 340 to 766 of the family's 1533-position model. The record is from RNAcentral.
UACGGAAGGCAGCAGUGGGGAAUAUUGCACAAUGGGCGAAAGCCUGAUGCAGCUAUGCCGCGUGUAUGAAGAAGGCCUUAGGGUUGUAAAGUACUUUCAUCGGGGAGGAAAAAACAAAACUAAUAAUUUUAUUUCUUGACGUUACCCGAAAAAGAAGCACCGGCUAACUCCGUGCCAGCAGCCGCGGUAAUACGGAGGGUGCUAGCGUUAAUCAGAAUUACUGGGCGUAAAGAGCACGUAGGUGGUUUUUUUAAAGUCAGAUGUGAAAUCCCUGGGCUUUAACCUAGGAACUGCAUUUUGAAACUGAAAUACUAGAGUAUCGUAGAGGGAGGUAGAAUUCUAGGUGUAGCGGUGAAAUGCGUAGAUAUCUGGAGGAAUACCUGUGGCGAAAGCGGCCUCUAAACGAAUACUGACACUGAGGGUGCGAAAGCGUGGGG